UCACUGAGGUACUCAAGCCCCACCACCACGACAAGGUGCAGAACCGUAACAGGUGGAUGUCUGAAGACUAUGCAUACCCCUUCAAUGUUGUCGUGUCCGUCUGAGAUGGUGCUGACAGAAUCAGAGUGCAUGGUAGUGCGCCGCCAGUACGUCUUCUCACAGGAACUAUAGCUGCACAGUGUGACAAACAGGAACAAGGUGGAACCCAUCACAAGCCACGCGUAUGAAGACUGGAGCGUCACACUCACCAUGAUUAACGUCAGAAUCAGGAACAGGAUUGUAGUUGCAAAUGCAGCCAUCGACAACCCUUUCUCCUAUAAUUAGGCAUAGUUCUGAUAUACAGAGUGCUAUUAGGAUAGUAUUAAAAUAACAUGAUAUUUUAAAAAAAGUUUGUAUCUCUUAGAAUUUGAUUAUUAGAUUUUGUAGAAUUUUUCUUGCAAGAGAGGAGAGGAAAAAUUAUAAUAGUGGUUGGAGGAAAAGCAAGAUAGUGAGCUCUGGUGACAGCAGAUGGAGCGGUGCUGACGUCAUUGAGAAACAAACCAUUAAUUGACGACGUGAGUUGUAUUAAUUAAUACCAUAUGUAAGACUUUUAUUGUCACUAAUCUUGUUUUGUUCACAAUUUUGUCUUGUAGUUUAUUUAACAAUAUACAACAAAAUUACCAGAAAGAUUCCUGAAAUAUGUAAUUCCAGCCUUAGGGUUGGAACUAUUGCUGCUAAAAUAUGAACGAUCGAUGACAA
This is a non-coding RNA of Zootermopsis nevadensis, 738 nucleotides long. The record is from RefSeq and is a predicted model, not a curated record. NCBI's taxonomy places the organism in Eukaryota, Metazoa, Arthropoda, Insecta, Blattodea, Termopsidae.